Molecule: small nuclear RNA, 118 nt
Organism: Mesoplodon densirostris (Blainville's beaked whale)
Lineage: Eukaryota; Metazoa; Chordata; Mammalia; Artiodactyla; Ziphiidae
Product: U5 spliceosomal RNA
Exons: 1
Source: RefSeq, a predicted model, not a curated record
AUAUUGUGGUUUCUUUUCAGAGUGUAUAAAUUUAUCGCUUUUUACUGAAGAUUUCCGUAAAGAGAAACAGUUUUGAGAGUUUGCCUUAUUUUUUGAGGUUGCGUAUUUUAGCCGGGGU